GCAGAGCAAGGCUGUUGCAGGAGUUGGCUGGCAGGACUCACAGGAGGAGGUGGCAAAUCAGCUUAUUUUUCUGAGCCACUUCAUUCUUCAUCACAAGUGGGUUUGGGUGGGUUUUUUUUUUGGUUUAGGUUUUGGGGUUUUUUUUGGUCAGGGUUGAGAGCAGGCAAAGUGGUGAGGAUUGCAGAGGAGUCUGUUAUGAAAUCAGAAGUGAUUUUAGAUGUCUGAAACAGUUUCUUUAGGCAGCUGAGAUCAGUUGCACUGUUGGCAAAUGUGCUUCAAGCUGGCUGGUGCCUCCCUUGAGGGACAGUUUCCAUCCAGGGCCCAUUGCAGUGGUAGUACAGAAAAGGGCUUUCAUUUGCUUUGGGCUAAGGAUCUUCUGCUGCCCAGUUCCACCAGCGAGAAGAGAAGCUGGAGAUGAUGUGGGAGAGUGACAACAGCAUUGUUUUUGGUGAGUUAUCGGCUGUUCCUUCCCCCUCAAAUCCCCAUGGUGGGUUUGUGUUAGAAGAUUUUGCUCAAAGCCCCAUACUCCUGAACUAUGGGUUUGAUAACAAAUGGGCAGACUGCACUGGCACAGGCUUUGCCUUUCAGGAGGUACUGAAGAAAUUGGUUUAAAUGGAUCAAAUUCUCAGAAACCCAGCCUGUGGGUUGUGCCCUAGCUUUUUAGGCUUUAUURUUUUAUUUUGUUUCUUUGUUUGCUUAUCUCCAAAGCUGAUAUGAAGAAAAAGACUGAAAGAGCCUCCUGAAGGUCAAGGUGAGGCUGACCAAAACCUGAAUGCUGGUAUGCACCAGCAGUAAUAAAUCCCUGCUCGCAGGUGCUGGAAGCCUCUUCAGCCAGAGAAACAACAUUGCUGCAGGGGACAAACAGCUAGUCCUGACCUUCUUUACACAGCCAUUCUCUGGGAAAAAGUAUCCCCUGAAGUCAAUGUGCAUUCUGCCUAGCUUUCAUCAGGAGGAAGACACCUGGAUUGACAUGACAACAGCAAAUAAUAGGUGAUGGUGAUUUGCACUCUCUCCACUUAAAUCAGCUAUCUGGCACAUCAAUGCUUAGAAGGCUUAGGAGAAGAAGAAAACAUCAAUAUUUCACUGAACACAAAAAUCGCACAACUCCCCAGUCGUCAUUUUAAUGUCAGCUGUGGUUAGUUUGUUG
Malurus melanocephalus (red-backed fairy wren) is the source of this 1147-nucleotide long non-coding RNA. RefSeq lists it as uncharacterized. NCBI's taxonomy places the organism in Eukaryota, Metazoa, Chordata, Aves, Passeriformes, Maluridae. The transcript has 3 exons. The record is from RefSeq and is a predicted model, not a curated record.